ACGUAGGGUGCGAGCGUUAAUCGGAAUUACUGGGCGUAAAGCGUGCGCAGGCGGUUGUGUAAGACAGAUGUGAAAUGCCCGGGCUCAACCUGGGAAUUGCAUUUGUGACUGCACGGCUAGAGUGUGUCAGAGGGGGGUAGAAUUCCACGUGUAGCAGUGAAAUGCGUAGAUAUGUGGAGGAAUACCGAUGGCGAAGGCAGCCCCCUGGGAUAACACUGACGCUCAUGCACGAAAGCGUGGGGAGCAAACAG
RNAcentral lists this ribosomal RNA (251 nucleotides) under uncultured bacterium. RNAcentral's name for it is "partial 16S ribosomal RNA". It matches the Rfam family "Bacterial small subunit ribosomal RNA", at positions 525 to 775 of the family's 1533-position model. The record is from RNAcentral.